This 2931-nucleotide ribosomal RNA is filed under the name Escherichia coli. RNAcentral's name for it is "bacterial LSU rRNA". It matches the Rfam family "Bacterial large subunit ribosomal RNA". Lineage: Bacteria; Pseudomonadati; Pseudomonadota; Gammaproteobacteria; Enterobacterales; Enterobacteriaceae. The record is from RNAcentral.
GGGUUGUGAGGUUAAGCGACUAAGCGUACACGGUGGAUGCCCUGGCAGUCAGAGGCGAUGAAGGACGUGCUAAUCUGCGAUAAGCGUCGGUAAGGUGAUAUGAACCGUUAUAACCGGCGAUUUCCGAAUGGGGAAACCCAGUGUGUUUCGACACACUAUCAUUAACUGAAUCCAUAGGUUAAUGAGGCGAACCGGGGGAACUGAAACAUCUAAGUACCCCGAGGAAAAGAAAUCAACCGAGAUUCCCCCAGUAGCGGCGAGCGAACGGGGAGGAGCCCAGAGCCUGAAUCAGUGUGUGUGUUAGUGGAAGCGUCUGGAAAGGCGCGCGAUACAGGGUGACAGCCCCGUACACAAAAAUGCACAUGCUGUGAGCUCGAUGAGUAGGGCGGGACACGUGGUAUCCUGUCUGAAUAUGGGGGGACCAUCCUCCAAGGCUAAAUACUCCUGACUGACCGAUAGUGAACCAGUACCGUGAGGGAAAGGCGAAAAGAACCCCGGCGAGGGGAGUGAAAAAGAACCUGAAACCGUGUACGUACAAGCAGUGGGAGCCUCUUUUAUGGGGUGACUGCGUACCUUUUGUAUAAUGGGUCAGCGACUUAUAUUCUGUAGCAAGGUUAACCGAAUAGGGGAGCCGAAGGGAAACCGAGUCUUAACUGGGCGUUAAGUUGCAGGGUAUAGACCCGAAACCCGGUGAUCUAGCCAUGGGCAGGUUGAAGGUUGGGUAACACUAACUGGAGGACCGAACCGACUAAUGUUGAAAAAUUAGCGGAUGACUUGUGGCUGGGGGUGAAAGGCCAAUCAAACCGGGAGAUAGCUGGUUCUCCCCGAAAGCUAUUUAGGUAGCGCCUCGUGAAUUCAUCUCCGGGGGUAGAGCACUGUUUCGGCAAGGGGGUCAUCCCGACUUACCAACCCGAUGCAAACUGCGAAUACCGGAGAAUGUUAUCACGGGAGACACACGGCGGGUGCUAACGUCCGUCGUGAAGAGGGAAACAACCCAGACCGCCAGCUAAGGUCCCAAAGUCAUGAUUAAGUGGGAAACGAUGUGGGAAGGCCCAGACAGCCAGGAUGUUGGCUUAGAAGCAGCCAUCAUUUAAAGAAAGCGUAAUAGCUCACUGGUCGAGUCGGCCUGCGCGGAAGAUGUAACGGGGCUAAACCAUGCACCGAAGCUGCGGCAGCGACGCUUAUGCGUUGUUGGGUAGGGGAGCGUUCUGUAAGCCUGCGAAGGUGUACUGUGAGGUAUGCUGGAGGUAUCAGAAGUGCGAAUGCUGACAUAAGUAACGAUAAAGCGGGUGAAAAGCCCGCUCGCCGGAAGACCAAGGGUUCCUGUCCAACGUUAAUCGGGGCAGGGUGAGUCGACCCCUAAGGCGAGGCCGAAAGGCGUAGUCGAUGGGAAACAGGUUAAUAUUCCUGUACUUGGUGUUACUGCGAAGGGGGGACGGAGAAGGCUAUGUUGGCCGGGCGACGGUUGUCCCGGUUUAAGCGUGUAGGCUGGUUUUCCAGGCAAAUCCGGAAAAUCAAGGCUGAGGCGUGAUGACGAGGCACUACGGUGCUGAAGCAACAAAUGCCCUGCUUCCAGGAAAAGCCUCUAAGCAUCAGGUAACAUCAAAUCGUACCCCAAACCGACACAGGUGGUCAGGUAGAGAAUACCAAGGCGCUUGAGAGAACUCGGGUGAAGGAACUAGGCAAAAUGGUGCCGUAACUUCGGGAGAAGGCACGCUGAUAUGUAGGUGAAGUCCCUCGCGGAUGGAGCUGAAAUCAGUCGAAGAUACCAGCUGGCUGCAACUGUUUAUUAAAAACACAGCACUGUGCAAACACGAAAGUGGACGUAUACGGUGUGACGCCUGCCCGGUGCCGGAAGGUUAAUUGAUGGGGUUAGCGCAAGCGAAGCUCUUGAUCGAAGCCCCGGUAAACGGCGGCCGUAACUAUAACGGUCCUAAGGUAGCGAAAUUCCUUGUCGGGUAAGUUCCGACCUGCACGAAUGGCGUAAUGAUGGCCAGGCUGUCUCCACCCGAGACUCAGUGAAAUUGAACUCGCUGUGAAGAUGCAGUGUACCCGCGGCAAGACGGAAAGACCCCGUGAACCUUUACUAUAGCUUGACACUGAACAUUGAGCCUUGAUGUGUAGGAUAGGUGGGAGGCUUAGAAGUGUGGACGCCAGUCUGCAUGGAGCCGACCUUGAAAUACCACCCUUUAAUGUUUGAUGUUCUAACGUUGACCCGUAAUCCGGGUUGCGGACAGUGUCUGGUGGGUAGUUUGACUGGGGCGGUCUCCUCCUAAAGAGUAACGGAGGAGCACGAAGGUUGGCUAAUCCUGGUCGGACAUCAGGAGGUUAGUGCAAUGGCAUAAGCCAGCUUGACUGCGAGCGUGACGGCGCGAGCAGGUGCGAAAGCAGGUCAUAGUGAUCCGGUGGUUCUGAAUGGAAGGGCCAUCGCUCAACGGAUAAAAGGUACUCCGGGGAUAACAGGCUGAUACCGCCCAAGAGUUCAUAUCGACGGCGGUGUUUGGCACCUCGAUGUCGGCUCAUCACAUCCUGGGGCUGAAGUAGGUCCCAAGGGUAUGGCUGUUCGCCAUUUAAAGUGGUACGCGAGCUGGGUUUAGAACGUCGUGAGACAGUUCGGUCCCUAUCUGCCGUGGGCGCUGGAGAACUGAGGGGGGCUGCUCCUAGUACGAGAGGACCGGAGUGGACGCAUCACUGGUGUUCGGGUUGUCAUGCCAAUGGCACUGCCCGGUAGCUAAAUGCGGAAGAGAUAAGUGCUGAAAGCAUCUAAGCACGAAACUUGCCCCGAGAUGAGUUCUCCCUGACUCCUUGAGAGUCCUGAAGGAACGUUGAAGACGACGACGUUGAUAGGCCGGGUGUGUAAGCGCAGCGAUGCGUUGAGCUAACCGGUACUAAUGAACCGUGAGGCUUAACCUUACAACGCCGAAGGUGUUU